AUUAAACUGGAGAGUUUGAUUCUGGCUCAGAUUGAACGCUGGCGGCGUGCCUAACACAUGCAAGUCGAACGCGAAAGUCUCUUCGGAGAUGAGUAGAGUGGCGCACGGGUGAGUAACGCGUGGAUUAUCUACCUACUGGUACGGGACAACAGUUGGAAACGACUGCUAAUACCGUAUACGCUGGUAACGGGAAAGGGGGCCUCUUCUUGAAAGCUCUCGCCAGUAGAUGAGUCCGCGUUUCAUUAGCUAGACGGUGGGGUAACGGCCUACCGUGGCAACGAUGAAUAGCAGGCCUGAGAGGGUGGCCUGCCACACUGGGACUGGAACACGGCCCAGACUCCUACGGGAGGCAGCAGUGGGGAAUAUUGCGCAAUGGACGAAAGUCUGACGCAGCGACGCCGCGUGGAGGAUGAAGGUUUUCGGAUCGUAAACUCCUGUCAAGAGGGAAGAAACCUAUCAAGACUAAUACUCUUAGUAAUUGACGGUACCUCUAGAGGAAGCACCGGCUAAUUCAGUGCCAGCAGCCGCGGUAAUACUGAAGGUGCAAGCGUUAAUCGGAAUCACUGGGCGUAAAGCGCUCGUAGGUGGCUUUGUAAGUCAGGUGUGAAAGCCCACGGCUCAACCGUGGAAUUGCACUUGAUACUGCAUCGCUAGAGUAUAGGAGAGGGAAGUGGAAUUUCUGGUGUAGGAGUGAAAUCCGUAGAGAUCAGAAGGAACACCCGUGGCGAAGGCGACUUCCUGGACUAUUACUGACACUGAGGAGCGAAAGCGUGGGGAGCAAACAGGAUUAGAUACCCUGGUAGUCCACGCCGUAAACGAUGGGUACUAGGUGUUGGGGGCUUGACCCUCGGUGCCGUAGUUAACGCGUUAAGUACCCCGCCUGGGGAGUACGGUCGCAAGGCUGAAACUCAAAGAAAUUGACGGGGGCCCGCACAAGCGGUGGAGUAUGUGGUUUAAUUCGAUGCAACGCGAAGAACCUUACCCAGGCUUGACAUCCUGCGAAUGCCCAAGAAAUUAGGCAGUGCCCUUCGGGGAAUGCAGUGACAGGUGCUGCAUGGCUGUCGUCAGCUCGUGCCGUGAGGUGUUGGGUUAAGUCCCGCAACGAGCGCAACCCCUAUCCUUAGUUGCCACCAGGUAAUGCUGAGCACUCUAGGGAGACUGCCCGGGUUAACCGGGAGGAAGGUGGGGACGACGUCAAGUCAUCAUGGCCCUUACGCCUGGGGCUACACACGUACUACAAUGGUACAUACAAAGGGUUGCGAGACCGUGAGGUGGAGCUAAUCCCAAAAAGUGUAUCCCAGUCCGGAUAGGAGUCUGCAACUCGACUCCUUGAAGUCGGAAUCGCUAGUAAUCCCGGAUCAGCAUGCCGGGGUGAAUGCGUUCCCGGGCCUUGUACACACCGCCCGUCACACCACGAAAGUUGGUUCUACCCGAAACCAGUGAGCUAACCGGCAACGGAGGCAGCUGUCUACGGUGGGGCUGAUGAUUGGGGUGAAGUCGUAACAAGGUAGCCGUAGGGGAACCUGCGGCUGGAUCACCUCCUUUAAA
RNAcentral lists this ribosomal RNA (1548 nucleotides) under Halodesulfovibrio spirochaetisodalis. Its description in RNAcentral is "bacterial SSU rRNA". It matches the Rfam family "Bacterial small subunit ribosomal RNA". The record is from RNAcentral. Lineage: Bacteria; Pseudomonadati; Thermodesulfobacteriota; Desulfovibrionia; Desulfovibrionales; Desulfovibrionaceae.